This 226-nucleotide unclassified non-coding RNA is filed under the name plant metagenome. Its description in RNAcentral is "partial contains 5.8S ribosomal RNA, internal transcribed spacer 2, and large subunit ribosomal RNA". The record is from RNAcentral.
CCGUACGAACCAGGUGAUGGCGUUGAUCGACAGGUGAAAGUGGGUGGCCCAGAUGUCGUUGCCACCACCGACCAGGAGCACGAAGUACAGCGUGAUCCAGGCGACGCCGAAGGCGGUGCGGGUCGGGACGUUGCGCGGGCGGUCCACGAGGUGGUGCUCGCGCUUGUCGCCGGUGAUCCAGGACUCGAUAAACGGGUAGACCGCGAUCGCGACCAGUACCAGCGGG